GACGAACGCUGGCGGCGUGCUUAACACAUGCAAGUCGAACGGAAAGGCCCUGCUUUUGUGGGGUGCUCGAGUGGCGAACGGGUGAGUAACACGUGAGUAACCUGCCCUUGACUUUGGGAUAACUUCAGGAAACUGGGGCUAAUACCGGAUAGGAGCUCCUGCUGCAUGGGGGGGGUUGGAAAGUUUCGGCGGUUGGGGAUGGACUCGCGGCUUAUCAGCUUGUUGGUGGGGUAGUGGCUUACCAAGGCUUUGACGGGUAGCCGGCCUGAGAGGGUGACCGGCCACAUUGGGACUGAGAUACGGCGCAGACUCCUACGGGAGGCAGCAGUGGGGAAUAUUGCACAAUGGGCGGACGCCUGAUGCAGCAACGCCGCGUGCGGGAUGACGGCCUUCGGGUUGUAAACCGCUUUCGCCUGUGACGAAGCGUGAGUGACGGUAAUGGGUAAAGAAGCACCGGCUAACUACGUG
This 468-nucleotide ribosomal RNA is filed under the name uncultured bacterium. RNAcentral's name for it is "partial 16S ribosomal RNA". It matches the Rfam family "Bacterial small subunit ribosomal RNA", at positions 28 to 507 of the family's 1533-position model. The record is from RNAcentral.